RNAcentral lists this ribosomal RNA (491 nucleotides) under uncultured bacterium. Its description in RNAcentral is "partial 16S ribosomal RNA". It matches the Rfam family "Bacterial small subunit ribosomal RNA", at positions 29 to 507 of the family's 1533-position model. The record is from RNAcentral.
AGUGAACGCUGGCGGUAGGCCUAACACAUGCAAGUCGAACGGCAGCACAGUAAGAGCUUGCUCUUACGGGUGGCGAGUGGCGGACGGGUGAGGAAUACAUCGGAAUCUACUUUUUCGUGGGGGAUAACGUAGGGAAACUACGCUAAUACCGCAUACGACCUACGGGUGAAAGCAGGGGAUCUUCGGACCUUGCGCGAUUGAAUGAGCCGAUGUCGGAUUAGCUAGUUGGCGGGGUAAAGGCCCACCAAGGCGACGAUCCGUAGCUGGUCUGAGAGGAUGAUCAGCCACACUGGAACUGAGACACGGUCCAGACUCCUACGGGAGGCAGCAGUGGGGAAUAUUGGACAAUGGGCGCAAGCCUGAUCCAGCCAUACCGCGUGGGUGAAGAAGGCCUUCGGGUUGUAAAGCCCUCUUGUUGGGAAAGAAAAGCAGCAGGUUAAUACCCCGCUGUUCUGACGGUACCCAAAGAAUAAGCACCGGCUAACUUCGUG